This 396-nucleotide long non-coding RNA is filed under the name Brassica rapa (field mustard). Its description in RNAcentral is "long non-coding RNA (BRAP_LNC005762)". Lineage: Eukaryota; Viridiplantae; Streptophyta; Magnoliopsida; Brassicales; Brassicaceae. The record is from RNAcentral.
AGACGACACAGUUGGUGAAGGACAAGAGAAGCUCACUUAAAUCAACGGUCCCUGAUUGAUCAGCGGCUUUGUAGAUCUUGUCCAUCAUACGUUGGCACUCUUCUUCUCUAACGGGUCGGAAACUUGCGACGCGAUUUGGGCUGAAUAGGUUAACCAUACACAUCUUCCUCAUCUCACGAUAGUACGCUGUGUACUGUCCGAAACCAAGCUCACGACCUUGAUAUGACAUCGUUUGUUGCCCCUUCAGGAGAGGACGAGCGGUGAAAUUGAGGUCCUGGGUCUUGAGGAGUUCCUUGGCUAACUCAGCCGAUGAGAUCACUGCAAGGCGGCGUCCACCGAUUUUCAUUGUGAAAAUUGGACCGUAGAGCUUGGAGAGACGAAAGAGGAAGUGUUGGG